Cucumis melo (muskmelon) is the source of this 83-nucleotide non-coding RNA. NCBI's taxonomy places the organism in Eukaryota, Viridiplantae, Streptophyta, Magnoliopsida, Cucurbitales, Cucurbitaceae. The record is from Rfam.
ACGAAUGAUAUUUUGUACUGGGCUUUGAGCAGUUUCUCACUUUAUUAUAAGGGGAAUGCUGCUUAGGAAGCUAAAUCUGAUAC